UGGCCUGAUAAGCUAUGUUAAUGGAGAU
RNAcentral lists this non-coding RNA (28 nucleotides) under Rattus norvegicus (Norway rat). Lineage: Eukaryota; Metazoa; Chordata; Mammalia; Rodentia; Muridae. The record is from RNAcentral.